GGGGAAUCUUCCGCAAUGGGCGAAAGUCUGAUGAAGCAAUACCGCGUGAAGGAUGAAGGUUUUAGGACUGUAAACUUCUGUCAUAAGGGAAGAAAAUAUUAAAGAGGAAAUGCUUUAAUUUUGACGGUACCUUAUUAGAAAGUCACGGCUAACUAUGUGCCAGCAGCCGCGGUAAUACGUAGGUGGCAAGCGUUAUCCGGAUUUAUUGGGCGUAAAGAGUGCACAGGUGGUUAUAUAAGUUUGAUGUUAAAAACCGAAGCUCAACUUCGGUCCGCAUUGGAAACUGUAUAACUAGAAUACAGGUGGGGAUAGUGGAAUUCGAUGUGUAGCGGUGGAAUGCAUAAAUAUAUCGAGGAACACCAGUGGCGAAGGCGGCUAUCUGAACUGUAAUUGACACUUAAGCACGAAAGCGUGGGGAAU
This 420-nucleotide ribosomal RNA is filed under the name uncultured bacterium. Its description in RNAcentral is "bacterial SSU rRNA". It matches the Rfam family "Bacterial small subunit ribosomal RNA", at positions 356 to 769 of the family's 1533-position model. The record is from RNAcentral.